Long non-coding RNA from Bactrocera dorsalis (oriental fruit fly), 312 nucleotides. RefSeq lists it as uncharacterized. The record is from RefSeq and is a predicted model, not a curated record. The transcript is spliced from 2 exons. NCBI's taxonomy places the organism in Eukaryota, Metazoa, Arthropoda, Insecta, Diptera, Tephritidae.
AGUAGCGAAUAGAAUAAGCAACUCGAAUAAAACACGCAUAACGCUAAAAUUGAAUAUACAAAAGUGGCACUCAUUUAAGGUUGCAAAUUUGUAACAUUUACUGCGAACUUCACAAAAUAACAAUUUGUAAUGUAAUUAUUUAUAGAAAAAACGAGCACAGAAAAUGAAAUGAAAUGAAUUGCCACGGAGCGCUCAUUUAACCCAAGUUUGCCUCUAAUACAUAAAUGAGUACCUUUAUUGUUUAGAUUCGCCAAGCCUUUGAGAGUAGCGUAGUUAAUAAAUAAUUAAUAAAGUUAACAUUGACUUGAUCAA